Molecule: long non-coding RNA, 34046 nt
Filed under: Setaria viridis
Lineage: Eukaryota; Viridiplantae; Streptophyta; Magnoliopsida; Poales; Poaceae
Description: long non-coding RNA (SVIR_LNC002967)
Source: RNAcentral
CUCAAGCAAGACUGCCUCUUCUUCUCCUUCGUAAAUACAGUACUAGUAAGCGUAUACUAGCACUAGCUAGUAAGCCAUGGCGCCGACCGUGAUGGCCUCCUCGGCCACCUCCGUGGCUCCAUUCCAGGGGCUCAAGUCCACCGCCGGACUCCCCGUCAGCCGCCGCAUCAGUAGCACCGGCUUCGUCAGCAACGGCGGAAGGAUCAGGUGCAUGCAGGUAAUAUAAUCGAUCGAUCUAGACACUGGAAUUCUUGCUGUUACGUUGUUCAUAUAAAUAAUACAACUCAAUAGGAAGUUUAGGAACUGAUAUGAGAGUGUCGUUGCUCAGGUGUGGCCGGCGGAGGGCAACAAGAAGUUCGAGACCCUCUCCUACCUGCCACCUCUCUCAACCGACCAGCUCCUGAAGCAGGUCGAGUACCUGAUCCGGAACAACUGGAUCCCCUGCCUCGAGUUCAGCAAGGUCGGGUUCGUCUUUCGUGAGAACAGCAGGUCUCCCUGUUACUACGACGGGCGCUACUGGACCAUGUGGAAGCUGCCCAUGUUCGGCUGCACCGAGGCCACCCAGGUGUACGCUGAGCUCGAGGAGUGCAAGAAGGCCUACCCUGACUGUUACAUCCGUGUCAUCGGCUUCGACAACCUCAGGCAGGUGCAAUGCGUCCUGUUCAUCGCCUACAAGCCCCCGGGCAGCGAGUAGACCGGCGCCGCCAAAUAAAAAGCUUAAAUACUGAGACUCUUCAGCUCCUGCAUGGGCAACCAUGAAGUGUCUGUUCGUUUUUUUUUUUGCUUCGUGUCACCUUGAUUUUGUUUUUUUUUUCCUUGCUUGCUUCUGCUGUAUCCAUGGCAUGCAUGCGGAUCUCUCCCCCCAACCGGAGAGUUAUCUACAUAGGACUAGCUACUAUACAACUAUCGAUCGUUGGGUGAGGAACAUGUGAAUGCUAGCUCCGGCUAUGAUAUGUAAUAUGGAUACUAGAGCAUACCCUGCCAAUCCGCCGACAAUACUAGAUCAUGGUUAAUUACUGGUGUUUUUGUCUAAUUUUUGUGUAUCUUUGCUCAAACUUACGCUUCUACGUAAAUCAAAUGUCAUGUAUCAGAUCAGUUGAGGAAAUAAAGGCUUACAAUACCUGUCCUUUUUAUUACCCCCGGUCAGAGUUGCAUACUUGCAACAAAUGAUUUGACAGUAAUUAUAAUUUGAUGGACUUAUAAAUUCUAGCUAGUUAAAGAGGAUGAGGCCAUUGAGUUCAAACACAUACUUUGUGAAUGAAAUGGAAAAUGUAUGUAUAAUUCAAAUAAGAACAAUGAAGUCAUUGAUACGACAAGUGCAAAGGCAGUGUGUUUUAUAUUUUAGAUCAUGCAUAGAGGUAAGAAUCAUACAACCACGCUCUUGUGUCUCCACUCCAUGAGAGAAGUCCUAGUAUCUAUCGGAGUGAAGAGUGAACUGUGUGAACAAGUUUCUUAAUUUUGAACAGAAUCAAUAUAGUAGUAAAUUGAUAUAGAAUAAUGCCAAGUCAGCAACUCAGCUUGCCACCACAUAUUCAUAGAUCGAUAGCACCAAAAGGCAGAUGACGAUGACCCUAAAAGGAUGUGAGACGAAAUAGGCCACGUGCGUCACUGCUUUUGAUUGGGCUCGUAGUAGUCAAUCUAGGCAUUCCCAUACCAUCCGACCUUGGAUAUUUUUAGGGCAUUUAGUUACUCAAGGUAACGAAUUACAUUUAAUGGUAAAUCGAUCGCUACGGGAGGAAGGAACUUUCGUCCACUCCGUUAGUACCGGUUGGAAUUAGCACCAGUAGAAAACACACCUUCCAUGCGCUUACUUUUAUCUCAGUUUAAAGUUGGCCCAGGACAAAAAGGGGCGUACCACGGUAAGUUGAAAUGGGGUGGAGUUUUAGUCACGGUUGGCAUUUGCAACCGGGACUAAAGUCCCCCUUUAGUCCCAGUUGUAACGGCUAGUUACCAGCCACCAACGGCGCUCCCCUUUUGUCCCGGUUGGAGCUUCCAACCGGGACAAAAGCACACCCCUUUUGUCCUGGUUGGAGUUACCAACCGGGACAAAAGGUUUACUCCCGGUUGGUAACUCCAACCGGGAUAAAACGGGGAGCUGUUUGUCCCGGUUGGUGUUUCCAACCGGGAGUAAACUCCCAACCAGGAUAAAAGGGGUUUGUUUUUGUCCCGGUUGGAAUUUUCAACCGGGACAAAAACUCCUCCCCUAUAAAAUCGUAAGACAGAGGCCUCUUCUUCCUCCUUCAGCCCGGGCCACUCCACUCCACAAGACAGAGAGCUUCAUCCUCCUUUCCAUGGCACCGAAGCAAGCCUAGGGGAGGUGCUGCCCAAAUUUUUUUCCUUAUUUCCGUGGGGAUUUUACUCAUCCAAAGUGUUGUGAAGGUUAGCUACUUCAUUCUCCUUUCAUUUAUUGUUAUUAUGCUUUAGAGAGGGAGAAAAAUGAGUUGGUUAGAAUGAGGAAGAAUGGAGAGGAUGUGUGUAUGCAAGCAGUGCUAAGGUAUGAAUUUUUGUACAUAUAGAUGGCUUCUGCUGCUGGAGGUAGUGGCAAUGGUGGGGGCGAUCAUCGUUCCUCUCGUGGCAAGGGGAAAAGCAUAGUUGGCCCGUGUGAUAAGCCAGAGAAAAUGAGCAUGUGGGAGAAAGCAAUGCUUCGUUAUUUGCAAAUAUGUCAUGAAGAUGCUAUUGCGGUGGGUCAGGAACCUCCUUUUGGUGGUCGUUAUGCUCUACCACCAGUCCCGGGUGUUUCACGUCCACUUAGUACUACCGUUGCAGGAGGCACAAAUAAACUACAGGAUGAGGCUGGGUCAGCGAAACCUUUGUCUUCGCCACCCAAGGAUGCUUAAAGUGAUCCUAGAUAGUACUCAGUGGAUGGUUUGUCAUAGUGCACCAUGUUGUUUGGAUCUGAAAUUUGAAUAUAUGUAUUUCUAUAUAUAUCUAAACUUUUAGCAUCAUUUGCACUACAAUGUUUGACAUGAUUUCAAUCGUGAAUAGCAUGUAGAUAAGUCGUAAAGCGUAUCAAAUAACCAUCAAUAUGAUGCGAAACGGAAAUGACACACUUACUCGCAAGAAGAGAAUAUAAUAUUUGUAAUCAUUGAAGAAUGAAGAAACAAUAUAUUUGAAUUGGUAAAAAAACAACUACCAUAUAACAUAAUAUUUAUAAUGUUGGCAAGAUAUUAGAGACCUGCAUGCUAAAAAUCAUAAUAAAAUUAGCUAUGUACAACAAAAAUAAAAAAAGAAAAAAAUGCAUAAUCCAUUUUCAUGCGUAAUACGAUGUAGAUGGACCGGCAAUGGAUGUAUAACAUGGACAGACGGAGCAAGGAGUUUGUUGAUGGCUUGCAUGAUUUUCUCAAAGUGGCCAAAGCGAACAAGUCAAAGAACGGGUUCAUAUAUUGUCCAUGCUUCAAAUGCAGUAACAAGAAGGACUAUUCACAAGCUUCCUGGGGGACAAUUCACAGCUACUUGUUUAGAUACGGUUUCAUGUGUAACUAUUUGGUUUGGACCAAGCAUGGAAAAAGAUGGGUUGUAAUGGAAGAUGAUGAAGAGGAGGAAGAUGACAACAUUUCGGACUGGGCUGCAGGCCAAGCUUUUGCAGAUACUACAAUGGGCGAGCCUGAUGAAGAUGAGUUUGCAGAAGACAGCUUUACUAAUGACCUUGGUUAGGUGCUACGGGAUGCACAUAGAGAUUGCGAAACUAAGAAGGAAGUAGCAAAGUUGCAGAGCAUGAUAGAUGAUCAUCAAAAAUUGUUUUACCCAGAUUGCCAGCAGGGCCAUAAAAAACUGGGUACUACAUUAGAAAUUAUGCAAUGGAAGGCCAAAAAUGAUGUGUCCGAUAAGUCAUUUCACAGGAUGUUGAAAAUUGUCAGGAAGAUUCUUCCCGAGAAUAAUGAAUUGCCGUCCACAACUUAUGAAGCUAAACAUAUUUUUUGCCCUCUAGGAUUGGAGGUUCAGAAGAUACACGCAUGCCCUAAUGACUGUAUCCUCUAUCGUGGUGCUGAAUACGAGAAAUUGGAUGCUUGUCCCGUGUGCGGAGCGCUGCGGUAUAAGAUCAGGCAAGAUGAUCCUGGUGAUGUCGAAGGGCAGCCUCCCAAGAAGAGAGUUCCUGAGAAGGUGAUGUGGUAUUUCACUAUAAUACCACGCUUGAAGUGCUUGUUCAGGAACAAGGCGAAUGCUAAGUUGAUGCGAUGGCACAAAGAAGAACGUAAGCAAGAUGAGAUGUUGAGACACCCUGCUGAUGGGGCCCAAUGGAGAUCAAUUGAUAGAGCAUUCCUGGACUUUGAAAUUGAUGCAAGGAACAUAAGGUUUGGUUUAAGUAUUAAUGGAUUCAAUUCAUUUGGUGAGUUGAGUAGUGGUCAUAGUACUUGGCUUGUGACCCUAUGUAUGUUCAACCUUCCUCUUUGGCUGUGUAUGAAGCGGAAGUUCAUUAUGAUACCGGCACUUAUCCAAGACCCAAAACAACCCAGCAACAACAUUUACAUGUACCUAAGAUCGUUGAUUGAUGAACUUUUAUAGCUCUGGAAGGAAGAAGGUGUACGUGUGUGGGAUGAGGAUAAAUAAGAGAUCUUUAACCUAUGAGCAUUGUUAUUCAUAACCAUCAAUGAUUGGCCUGCACUUAGUAACCUUUCAGGACAAACAAACAAGGGAUAUCGGGUCUGCACCCACUGUUUAGACGACACAUACAGCAUGUAUUUGAAGCACUGUAAGAAGGUCAUCUAUAUGGGUCAUCGUCAAUUUCUCCCUGCUAACCACCCGCUGAGAAAGAGAGGGAUGCAUUUCAAAGGGGUGCCAGACAAUCGUAAAAAACCUGCACACCAUAAUGGAAAGUGUGUCUUUGAGACAAUAAAGGAUGUAAGGGUAGUCUUUGGAAAGGGUCUUGGUAGCGAGCCUGUUCCGAACGACAAUAAUGGAUGUGCACCCAUGUGGAAAAAGAAGUCAAUAUUUGGGAGCCACCUUAUUGGGAAAUCCUAGAGGUCUGCAACGCAAAAGACGUGAUGCACCUGAUGAAGAAUCUUUGCGUUAACGUGCUAGGCUUCAUGGGUGUUUAUGGGAGGUCAAAAGAUACAUUGGAAGCAUGACAGGACCUGAAACGUAUGGGGCAACGAGAUGACCUACAUCCAGAAAAGAGAGAUAAUGGACAACACUACUUACAUCCUGCCAAUUACACUCUUAGCAAGGAAGAGAAGGAUAGCAUGUUUGAAUGCUUGAAUAGUAUGAAGGUCCCAUCUGGGUACUCCUCGAAUAUAAAGGAAAUAAUAAAUAUGAACGAAAAGGAGUUCAUAAAUCUCGAGGCCCAUGACUGCCACAUGUUGAUGAUCCAGUUGCUUCCAGUUACACUGAGGGGUGUUCUACCAAAGAGUGUCCGAUUGCUGCUUGUAAAGCUAUGCACGUUUGUCAAUGCGAUUUUGCAGAAGGAAAUUGAUCCAACCAAGCUAUUAAAGCUAUAGAACAAUGUGGUGCAAUGUGUUAUCAGCUUUGAGUUGAUAUUUCCACCAUCCUUCUUUAAUAUUAUGACGCACCUCCUAGUUCACCUAGUAAAAGAGAUUACUAUUCUCAGACCAGUAUACUUGCACAAUAUGUGGCCUUUCGAGAGGUUCAUGUCAGUCCUAGAAAACUAUGUUCUUAAUUGUGCCUGUGCCUGUCCAGAAGGAAGCAUCACCAAGGGAUAUGGAACAGAGGAGGUGAUUGAGUUUUGUGUUGAUUUUAUUGACUCAAUUGAUUCGAUUGGGGUUCUAACUUCACGCCAUGAGGAGAGGCUGCGGUGAAUGGGCACUCUUGGAAGGAAAUCAAGUUUGAGCAAUGAUACUGAUUUGUUCGAUAAGGCACACUACACUGUUUUGCAACAGUCAUCCUUUGUGGCUCCAUAUAUCGAGCAACACAGGCAGAUCCUAGUUUCCAAAAAACCGACGAAAUCUGAUACCUAGCUUAUACAUCAUCACAUGGAUACUUUUCCCUCCUGGUUGCGUCAACAACUUAUGGGUAACUCUGAGAUUCACCCACAGCUCACUUGGUUAGCCAGGGGACCUUCUAGCACAAUCGUGAAAUUCCAAGGCUACGAGAUAAAUGGUUAUACAAGUUACACAACCCAAGAUCAGAAAAGCAUGAACCAGAAUAGUGGUGUCCGUAUAGAUGCCAUAGACAGAAAUAGUAUAGCAAGGACUCGUAGUAUGGUUUCAUAGAGGAGAUAUGGGAACUCAAAUGCGAACCGCUGUACAUCGCUCUAUUUCAUUGCCAAUGGUUGAAGAUAACUGGCGUAACCAAAGAUCAAUAUGGAAUGACAAUAGUGGACUUGAGCAAGACUGGAUACAGUGAUGAACCAUUCGUACUUGCCAAUGAUGUGCAUCAGAUUUUCUAUGUGAAGGACAUGUCUAGCAAACCCAAGAGAAAUCCAGAAGAGCCAUAGGAGUCAAAGCACCACAUAGUUCUUCCAGGUAAAAGAAAAAUCAUGGGAGUCGAGGACAAAACAGACCAAAUAAAUGAUUAUGAUCAGUUUGAUGGCAUGCCUCUAUUCGCUGUUGAAGUUGACCCAAGCAUCAUGCUAUCCAAAGAAGAGGCUCCGUACUUACGCCGCGAUCAUGACCAAGGACCUUUCAUGAAUAAGAAGUUUUUUAACAUUACAUUGUAACACACUAAUUUUGCUUCACCUUUAUAUAAAGUUACAUUGUAAAGUUCUAUGAUUUCAUGUACUACUUGAUACAAUUUUUAAUUUAACGUAUCUAUGAUUUCAUGUGUGUUUAAUUAGUUGAGGUGAAGAUUUAUUCAAUCAAUAUGAACAAUGUUAACCACAUACAUCAACUGAAUUUUUCACACAUUGAAAUUAUUUAAUUUGAUGAUAGCGAUGCAAUAAAAUAAUUAUUUUAGAAGCUAGAAGAACUAUUAUAGAAUUAAUGACUCAUUCAAACUUAUUGUAAAUAUACUUACUAAUUUAAUAUAUUUUUGCAUGUUCGAAAUAUGUAAAGUUCUUAUUUUUUCUUUCCUGAAAUCUAGUGAAAAACAUAUAUAAAAUCUAUUUCCCAAAAACAGGUGGGAGACGAAAAAUAGGAAAAGACCCUUUUGUCCCGGGUGCCAAUUGCAACCGGGACAAAAGUUCCCCCUUUUAUCCCGGUUUUAAAUUGAAACUAGGAUAAAAGGGUAGUUUUCGAUUCCCGCUCGGAACGUACCCUUUUAUCCUGAUUUUAGUUUGCAACCGGGACAAAAGUUCCUUUAGUCCCGGGUUUAAUUAGGAACCGGGAUAAAAGGGGGGGCGAUAAAAGUAACAGUCAUCUUCUACCCCAUUGUAACAUCCCUAGUUUAAGUGAAAUAAUUCAAAGGUUAAUUGAAGUGAUUAAGGGUACAAAUCGCACAUAAACUCUAAACCUUGCCAUGUGUAAAAUUCAAAUGCACUUAAAACCUUGGAAAACUCACAAGAAGGCAAAUUGAAGUCAAAUGGGACCCAGCAAGAAACCAAUGUGAAAACCAGCAAUUUUAGGUUGGGAAGGUAGAAAAACACCCCAAAGUUCAAAUCCCAACCUUGAAAGCUUUUCAAACACAAAGAAUGAAAAAUGCCUCAAAAAGCACUUCUUGGGGGUAGAUGUUAAAAAUAGAAUUUUAUACAAGAACUCAACUUUUGGCUAAUAUGAAAGUUGUAGAACAUUUCAAAACAAGCAACUUUUGUUAGUUGCACAUCUUCUGAUUUUGAGUGGAAGGCCUUCAAAUUUCAGUUCAAAAUUCAGAAAAUUUGGGGAAAAGUUCAAACUCAACCAUGUCUGGCGUUCCACCAAACUUCCAAGCUUUCUAUCUCCUUUUCUGUUGAGUUUUUGACACAUGAGCCUUCGUAGGAGUUAUAGAGUCAGCUUUGGACAACAAGUUUUGUAUUUGGAAAUAUUGAAGUUUCAAUUCAAAAUUUGGAGAAAAAUCGAUGCUAACAUGCUGCCCUCGCUCACCACAGCGUCGCCCACGUGCACCGGCGCCGGUGACUGCGCAUGGUGCGUUGCGUCGUGCCACGCGGUGCCGUCCCGCUCACGCCACACCCCGACCUGUCACCGCCAGUGAUGGGAUCUGACCUUCCCCAGCGCUGCCCACUCCCUGCGCGCGCAAUCCUUACCCUCCGCCGUACAUCUCUCCCUGGCCAAUUGCCGCGACACGCCCACGUGUGCUCCUGCCCACGUCCCCGCGUUCACCGCCAUGUCGCGCCGCGCCACCAGCUCCGCCGUGAUGGCCAAUACCGCUGAUGAGGUGAUGACUCGGGCUCUCCCUCCAAGCCAACUCUCGCGUGCGACAACAAGCAUCUCCGCAGCUCCGCAUUCUUCCCCGGCCACUCCCUACAGCCCGCCCACGCACGCGCCACUACCAGCCACUCCGGCGCGCCGCUCUUUUGCUUUGCCAGUGCCUGGCUGCCUUCGUGCGCCCCGGCGGGCCUCAGCCCCGCAGAUGCCCUAUACACCCUCCUGGCACCCUCCCCACGCUAUAAAAGGAGGCCCAGCUCUCUUCGCGCAACCCUCCACCACCACCCCUCUCUACCGAAGCGCCGUCGUUGCCACCAGAGCCCUCGCCGUCGAGCUAGCCCUCCCGAGCAUCGCCACCGCCUACUAGCCCCUCCGGUUCAACUCUUACACCCGCGCAGCUUCACGAGCCGCUACCCAGCCUCCUCUACCACCGCCGGUGCCGGAGCAGAGACUCCCCCACCACCGCAUAACCCUCACCGUGGAACGCCGUCGUCAAGCCUCCUCCGCCCACGUUUCCUUCAUCGUAUCGAACCACGGUGAGCCUACGACUGUGCCUAAGCCCAUUCCCCCUCCUGUUGUCGCCGCCGCUCACCGGAAUUUCACCGGCAAGCCGCCGGCGAGGUCUGAAGACCAAUUUGAGAGCCCCAAAAUCUUCCUAAGGUCUAAAUCGUAAAAUAGCAGGACCGCUCUAUGAAAGUUUAACAGUUCCAGGGGCCUUUCUGCGAAACAUUGGAAAUGUGUAGGAAUUUUUAAAAAGAUGGUAAAAAUGUGAAAUCAAUUUUGUUAGACUCCUGAUGCACAUGGCUAACUAGGAAAAAUACUUUCUUUUGUAAUAUACAUGUUUUACCUUACUUAAAUAAAUGCAUGUGGUUUAAUGUACUUUUUAUGUGAUAAAUAGUUUUCAUGCUCUUUAAAUUCUGGAAAAAUUUACAGUAGCCUCUGUUAGUGUUGGUAACCCUUCUGUAAAAUUUGUGGAACCACACUAAUGAUGAAGCUCUAGAUAAAAUUCUUUCUUCAUGUUUUGCAAUCUAAUGUUGUUUGGUUUUUAGUAAAUUUUGUAAACACCAAAUGCAUCUUAAAUUUUUUUAGUAGAUCGCUUGAGUAAUAAUGAAGCUUCUGUAAAAAUUCAGAACAUAUCUUAUUCGGUCCUUCCAAAAACAUUUUUUAAGUAAUAUCUAGUUAAAUGGAAUUAUAACAAAUGUUAAAUAGGAAGGGUAUAAGGGUAAAAGCUCUUUUAAGUUGUUUAAAAAUUCAGAAACAAGAUAACUUUCCAAAUGAAUGUUGAGCAACCCUAAACUGACCCCAUCUUUCUUUUGUGAAGUCUAAGUUGUUAAAAUAUUAUAUGUGUACACAAUCAGCAUCAAAGUCAACCCCGGGUUUUAAAUCACAACACACCUUACUUCAUGAAUUAAAUGAAAGUUGGAAUCUUGUCCAGGUGAAUGUGGUCAAAAGGCAAUUUACACUUCUGCAAUAUCAUCUGAAAUACAUCCUGCCUAUGAAAUCUUGAAUUAUUGCAUAUGCAUCUCGUGUAGAAGCGAACCUUGCUGACGGGACAUACGAGCUGCUUCUGAUGACAGAGGAGGAACCUGCCAAGCUACACUAGAUUGAGAUCGAGCAAGACCCCAGCCAAGCUUCCGACGACCCUCCUACUAACCUAGUUCAGGAAGGCAAGCCUCGGAGCAUAACCCUUAUUCAAAGUUUAUGCAAUAUCUAUGAUACUUAUGUUUGUGCAUUUAAGUUCAUAGGAGUUGCUUGAAACCAUAGCUGCAUGAUCUUAAGUACCUAUGUUUGAAUAGUAAUAUGACAGGUCGAGUAGCUACAAUGCUAAAUAGGGACCCGGUAAAAGUCAAGUGAUUUCCUGUCACUCACGAGUUAUAGGAGUUGUUUGCCUACUUAUGUUCUCACCAUAAGGACGACAGAUGGGGCUGGACUUUUGGUUCUGACUCGGUGGAAUUUAUCCCGUCUAUCUAGGAGAAAGCUGCUAAGGUCGGAAUAUGUCUAGAGCUGUGGUCAAGUGUUUGAAAGUACUAAUCUCAUACCUAGUUUGGGAUGGGGAAGCCUAGUACCUGAUUGAACCGGGACGUGAGUAGACCGCCCCACUCUCUCUAGAACUUGGUUCCCCUGAUGCAUCAUGUGGGUUCAAGGGCAGUCACGGUAUAAUGUCGUCUAGGACCGUGGGGCAUUGUAUCCAAGGGAAGUGUCCCUAACAUGUGCUUGGGGAUUGAUGGGGAUGGCUGACAUGUAUGGACCCGGUGUGGUAUUCAUAUGUUGUGGGGUUAGGUUCACCUUGCAAGGUUAUGAAACUCGAUUCGAAUCGUCUGCCUCUCACAGUUUGAGACUGCUUGACUGCACUUCUGUACUGAGUAAGAAUAGAACUGAGGAUGAUUAUCAUAAUGAUGAUGCUUGGAAUAAAAUAUUUGAUCACCAUCUUGAUUAGAAUAGGUGCUUACUUAGAAUGAAUAAGCAACUAGAACUUGAUGCUAAAACUUGAAAGUAAGAACCUAAUUUAGUUGCUUUUGGCAAAACAAAUCCCUCGGCAAAAAAGCCUUGCAUGUCUAGAAGCUGGUGGAGUAGUUACCGCCCGACGGUUAAGUCUUGCUGAGUAUUAGUAUACUCAGCCUUGCUUGUGGCUUUGUUUUCAGGAAAUAUGGUAGAUGUCGAUGAAUGUGCUGCUAGCUUGACUUGGCUGACCCAGCUCCCUCCAGGUUCGACGGUCGAGUGGGACCUGUCCUCGGUUGGCAAGGAUCGCGGUAACUGAUGACAUGGUAGGCUUCACCAUGCCAUCUCUGCUUUGACGUCUAGAUUGUCUCUUUAUUUCCGCUGCUUGAACUCUGAACAACUUUACUUUAUGCAAUUUCAAACUCUUGUGGUGUAAUAAUUAAAGUGGGACCUAUGUUAGUCUACGUGGAUUGUUGUAACCUCUGGACUCGCCUUCAUGUGAGUAUGCUUUGUUUCGAUCCGAGACAAGUGGUUUAUCGGGUGAAACCCAACAGACUACCAGGUUAACUUAAUUGUCAGUUCGCAUGUGAGGCGAAGUUGAGCACACUUUAGCUGGGUUCAUUUGGUUAGUUCUGCCACACCCCCACCCUUCAACACUUAGGAAAAUUUUUCACCGCCACCAAGAUUUGCACCCGUCCGCCUGCUCCGUCACCGUCGAUCUCCCAUCACCGCCUGUCCGCUUCCCUCGCCGGCCGCUGUUCUCUUCGUUGCCCGCCACCCCGGCCACCGUUGCCCGCCGGCCCUGGCUCCCGCAUGUACGGCGGGCCCCUUACUGACGCAAGCCACAGGCUUGCUGACGCAAGGGCCUUUUUUAUUUUUUAGUUAGAAAAUCAAUAGAAAUUUGUACAAAUCAAUAGAUUAGUAAAAAAUCAAUAGAAAAUUAAUAUUAUUAGUUGAAACUCAGUAGGAAACUACUAUGAUUAGUAGGAAAUUAGUAUAAUUUAGUUCAGAUGCUUAGUAUAAUUUUGUAUAACUUUAAGAAAUUACUAUGUUUUAUUAUAAAUGAUUCAAAAAUUAGUGGAAAUUUGUAGAAAUGCUAAACACUUAUUUCUAGUAUAAAUGCUUAGUCUAUUUUUUUUAUACAUUUGGUAUAAUUUUUAUUACGUUACUAUAAUUUAGUACAAAUACUUCAAAAAUUAGUAAAAAUUUCUAGAAAUUUUGUAGAAAUUCUUACAAAUUACAAGAAAUUUGUAGAAAUUUGGUAUAAAUGCUUAGAAAUUAGAAGAAAUUUGGUAGACAUUCUUAGAAAUUAUUAAAAAUUUGUAGAAACACUUCGAAUUUGGUAGAAUUUCUUAGAAAUUAGUAGAAAUUUGUAGAAACAUUUAAAAUUUGGUAGAAAUUCUUAGAAAUUUGUAUAGACACAUCAAUUUUGGUAGAAAUUCCAAUAAAUUAGUAGAAAUUUGUAUAAACACUUCAAAUUUCGUAGAAAUUCUGAGAAAUUAGUAGAAAUUUGUAUAAACACUUCAAAUUUGGUAGGAUUUAGUAGGAAUUAGUAGAAAUUUGUAGAAACACAUCAAAUUUGGUAGAAGUUUCUAGAAAUUAGUAGAAAUUUUAAGAAACACUUCAUGCAUGAUUCAUUAAAGACUUUCAUGUUGUUGUAUGAUUUCAUGUAUAUACCUUAACGUACAUGUAACUAUGAUUUCAUGUAACACAUUAAAGACAUUUCAUGUAAGUUUCAUUCAAGACAUUCUUAUGUAUUUCUUGUAAGUUUUCAUGUAAGUUUCAUUUCGUGUAUGGUUUCAUGUGUACAUUUCAAUCAAUUUGUUUUUUUCAUGAUUGUUCUAUGAUUUCAUGUAUAUACCUUAACGUACAUGUAACUAUGAUUUCAUGUGUGUUUAAAGUAGUUGAGAUGGCAGACGACGAGACCGCAAGGUAUCUAAUGGAGCAUAUUAGUGCUGAUAUGGGUAGUGACUCCAACCUUCCCGUAAUGUACACCGAUGAAGAGGUAACCAGGCGGACAUGUUCCUCAACAUGUCUGGUGAUGGCAAUGAAGAGCCUGAGCCCCAGCAAAACCUUACCGUGACGGAAGGUUUCGACGAGGUAUAUAUCAUUUCCAAUGUUUUACCCCAUCUAUAAUGUCUUAUUCGUUAUUACUAUGUACUAAUUAAUGGAUCUUGAACUGUUAGCCCUCUGGAUCGACGCACUGUUAGAAGGCCCGAGGUCGUACAAGGGUGAUGGAUGGCAGGCUUAUCAUCAUGGAAGUCACAAAAGAGGGUAGGCUGGUUGCUCCCGAAAAAAUGGCAAAAAAGUACAUGACUCAGAUCGAGGCAAUCUUAAGGGACAACAUGCCCAUCAGCAUCAGGGAAUGGAAGGGCAAAAGUACUAAUCCAUACGCGCUCCCGGAUAUAGAAAAGAAUAUGCUAUGGGAAGAUGUCAAGAAGCAUUUCACAUUUCUCGAAGGAUGUAAUGAAGAUGAUGUGAAAUUGUGGAUGUUGAAGAAGAUGGCCACACAAUUCCAGACAUUCAAGAAGAUGUUGGAUGCCAACUUCAUCAAGAAGGGCCAAACUCUGGAUUUCGAUGAUUGGCCAAAGUUGAGGGACCAUUGGGAGGCAUUUGUUGAAUACAAGAUGAGCGAAGACAGUGCGAAUAGGGUCAAGACCAACAUUGCUGAUGCUGGCAAGAAGGAGUACCAUCAUCGUUUAGGGUGAGGUGGUUAUGGCACAGCAAUUCCCAGAUGGCACAAGAUGGAACAAGACCUGAUCGAUCAGGGUAUCGUACCAGCAACUAUUGAAUGGCCUGAUCGAUCGAAAAAUUUGUAUUACGCUCAUGGAGGCUUCCUGAGCCAAGAGAGCCUCUUGAGCCAAGAGGAUGGGAUGCUGAUCUUCAAUGAGACAAUACAUCAGAAGGCUCAAAGGCUUAUCAAGAACAUUGAAGAUGCUAAGGCUGGGAGGUUAAAGGUGGACUGAGAGAAUGAUGAGCUCACAUUGGCCCUUGGGAAUCCCAAGCACCCAGGAAGUUGCCGAGGGUUCGUGGUCAUUCCGUGGAAGUUCGCUUUCUGAGGUGACAUCACCUCAUACAGAAGUCACAAGCAAAGAAAGGAAGAGGUUGAGGAGAGCUGGCGGCGCAUGCUAGAAUCCAGAGUGCAUUCACAAGAAGUAUGAAUGAAGGAGAAAAUCAUCGUUGAGUGGCCCUAGCAGUUGCGGAGUUGGCCCAAUCUAGAGCAUUGCCGGAUCCAAACAUCCCCAGCCCUUCUCAAUGCCUCGGGAGCAGCUAUGCUUCCACAGGGAUCCCCGAUCCAUAGAGACCAAGAUUACCUGUGGACGACGGUUUGGUGUGAAUGUCAUCACGCAACGCACCUCAUGUGAGCUGCAUACACCGGUCGGCAACCUCACCAUUAAGGUAUACUUAUACAUAAUAUUUAUGCAAUCUUCUGAAUCCAUCCACACCUCGGGAUCGGAGUUUAAUAACUUCUUUAUUUAUGUUAUAUGUAUAGGUGGCGUACGGGAGUGCCUUACCAAUCCUGCCAAGGCAGACAAGCCAUGGCAUGGAGAUUUCACCUGGCUAUGCUAGCGUCGGCCUAGAGCAGCUCGUUGAUAGCCAAUAUAAAGGCCUAGAGCUCGACCUCCCGAGAGGCAACGAGGAAAGGACACUAGGAGAUGCGCUUCACGUAAUCAUUCUAUGGCGCAAACGCUACAUCAUUAUCCCUGGCACAAAGGCAUCUCCUCAAAGGUCAAGACCGCUCCUCACAGAUCCCCAGCAGCGACCAUCUCCUCAAAGGUCAAGACCGUCAUCUGCACCACGACCUGCUCCAGGACCGUCAUCUCUAGCACAACCUGCUCUAGGACCGUCGUCACCACUGGGACCGUCGCUUCCUGCUCAAUCAAGGUCUCCAUCUCCACCACAUCCUGGUGGUGUGAGCGACGACAACGACAACAACACUCCUCCCCGAUCACCGUCACUUGGACUAAGAGCAGACCCAAGCAAGGAACCGGUAGCACCAAUUAAGAAGUCAUGACCACCGCCUCCCAAGCCAAGACAGAGAAAGAAGAAAACAAAGGAGCCUGAAGUGACUCCUGAGGAAAGCUGGGAGGCAAUGAGUCAAGCGGAGCGCUGCGCCCAAACCCAAGCAGAAGCCAGAGAGUGGUUCAGGAAAAGGGCUGAAGAAAAAAAAGCAAGGGAGAUGGAGCCACCACCAGUACAUCGAAGAGAACUAAAUUUUUUUAUCCGGAUGCAAUGAGAAGCCAAAAAGAGGAUAUCACUACUACCGAACUACGAACGAGUGCUAAUCAAGGCUGAUGAGAAGAAAAAAAGGAAAGGAAAGUCGUCUUCAAGGGGUGCUAUCCCCCACCUUGGGCAUCUACCAGAAAGAGACGCUAGAAAGAUAGCAGCAAUGCCCUUGGAUCAACAAGCAGAAGUAUUGAAUUCAUGGAAGAAAUAGGUAUGGGACUUGCUGAAUGUCUAGGGCAAGCUGAGCUGCCUGCUGCACCACUAGUUGAACCAAAAUGGAUAUUUGAGAUAGGCAAGCCUCUGGUAAGGCCUGAGUUGGUAUGGAAGCUAUCAGCAAAUAUGUAUGAAUUCCAUGAAUGGUACAUGAAGUCUCUCUGAUCAGCGCCUGGGCUCUGUAAGUGUCUGUUAAUCUAUAUGUAAAUUUUGGCUCAUAUCAUUAUUUUUUGUGCGUGCGUCAUCGUACUAACUUUGUCUUCCAUUUUAUGUAGGAUGCUAAUUCAAAUGUGACUUCAUCUUCCAUUUUAUGUAGGAUGCUAAUUCAGACGUGCCGAUGAGAAGUGUACCUCUAUGUUGGCUUCAUGGAUCCAUCCCUAGUUAACCAAAAACAGAUACAGGAGCAGCCAGAGAAAACGUUGGUGGAAGUAUAUAAUUUCCUAUACAAACAAAUAGGAUUUCAUACUACUUCCAUACAACUUCAAGUAAGUGUGUGUAUACCGUCUAUUUUCAUUUUCUUUUUCCUUACUUUAUUAAUGUUAGUUAGCUCUAAUAUAUAUGAACAUUUACGUACGCAGCUACCACUGGAUCCUCAUAAUAAUUGAGCCUGAAAGAAGCCACGUCACUGUCUUCGAUUCAUUGAGGAAAGCUCCAAUGAAGUACCAAGACAUUCAAGACAUGCUAGGCUAGUAAUAAUUUUGGACCUUUAUCUCUAUGCAAAAGUUUGUUUCCUAAAUUUUCACCUAACACUAUAUCAUUCAUUAUUGUAAUCUGCAGCGCAUGGCGAGAAUUCAUUAGGAAACACAACGGUCCAUACAAAGAAAAUCUUACAUGGAACACAGCCUUCCCGAUAUGUAUGAAGUUUGCACAUUUUGUACAUUCUAUAGUAUGGAUAUUUCAUAACUUAUUUUUUCCCCAUUAAAGUGCUUAAGAUAGGAACCCGAGAAUAAUAUAUGUGGCUACUACAUUUGUGAGCACAUGCAUGGUUUUGUGGGAUCCAAGGGAAAGAUGACGCCGCAUGACUAUAAAGUAUGUAAAAUAAAACUAUUAAUAGUUAAUUAUUUUCUACCUCCUUAUAUUUAAUUGUUAGUGUAAAAUUCACAUUUUUCCAAAUGAUAGAUGUAUAAUAUUCAACAGGGAGUCUUGAGGAAGGAAAGAGUAGCAGCAAUAUGUGAAGGUCUCGUUGGAUUCCUAUUGGACGAGGUGGUAAAUCCACAAGGAGAAUUUUAUUACGAUGGACAAAAAUUAGUCGCACCGAGCAACACCUCGACAGGAAGAUCCAAUAUAGUUUAAUUUGAUUUGUAUAACACACUAAGAUUUGUAUAGUAUGCUAAGAAUUGUAUAUAUACUAAGAAUUGUAUAUAUAGGAAUUGUAUAAAUACUAGUUUGAUUCGUUUAAAUACUAGUUUGAUUUCGUUAUAAAAAAAGUCUCAACUACUAAAGGUUAACUAAAGGGGUACGUACGUGAUGCAUGAAAUUACAAGCGCCUGCAUGGUGCGCGUUUGAAAUUUCAAGCAUGACUUUAGUCUCUGUUGGAAAAACCAACUGGGACUAGAGGGCCCCCCUUUAGUCCCGGUUGGUAAAACCAACCGAGAGUAAAGGGCCUAUCCCGCGCCUAGCAUUGCAGCCCCUUUAGUCCCGGUUGGUUUUUCCAACCAGGACUAAAGAGUGUCUUUAGUCCCAGUUGAGUGAUCUGGAACUAAAGACCCCCCCCUCCCCCGUCUCGAUUGCUUUAUCCCGGAUGGAUAUUCGGUAGAUUUGCUCCCUACCAACUGGGACUAAAGGCAAGUUUUGCACCAGUGUGAGCGCGGUACUAAUGUGAGCAUUAGUAACGGGCCUAACAGCUAGUACCCCUGGGCCACCCUGUUACCCCCUUGAGUACCGGUUGGGGGAACCAAUAAUAAAGGCUACACAUUAGUACCGGUUGGUUCUGCCACCCGGUACUAAUGUGCCAUCGAGCCUUUAGUACUAGGUAGGGUCACCAACCUGUACUAAUGUGUACCCUUUAGUACCUGUUGGUUCCCCCAACCGGUACUAAAUUUUCUCCUAUAAAUCCUCCUUCUUCUUCCUCCUACCCGAGACAUUCACCACAGCUCGAGCUUCAUCCUAUCCAUGGCUCCAUAGGGAAGGUGCUGCCGGAUUGAAGAGCAUUUAGUGGGACCCAUUCAAGUGUUCUAAAGGUGAGAAAAUUCAGCCUUUCUUGAUAUAUGGUUAGUAUACUAAUUUUAUGCUUUAUAGCUAGAGUAAUUUGUUUUUUUAGAAUAAGGUACAAUGGGGAAAUUUUUCAUUCAUAUGCAUGUGUUAUUUGGAGGUCAUAUUUGUGAUUUUUAGAAUAAGCUAUAAUUUUUUGGAUGCUAUGUUUUCAUAUUAGUCAAAGAAAUGGAUAUGAGAUUAGAAGAAUAAUUUCAUAGUGGCACAUGUGAGCGAGAUAAAUUGUGGUACAUAGAGAUAAUAAGAUGAAAUAGAGGUAUGUAAUUAGUCAUUUUUACAAUAAGCUACAAUGAAGAAAAUUUUCAUUUAAAUGUUAUGUUUGAGCUAAGUAAAUUGUGGGGGAAAAUAUAGAAUUUAUUUAUAGUUUAGUCAUUUGCAAAUAGGAGCUAAAUAAAUUUUGGUACAUAGAUAUGGCUUCUGCUGCUGGAGGUAGUGGUGAUGGUAGGGGUGAUCGUCGUUCCUCUUGUAGCAAGGGGAAAACCAGAGUUGGCCUUGAUGAUAAGCCAAAGAAAAUGAGCACGUGGGAGAAAAUAAUGCUUUGCUAUUUGCAAAGAUGUCAUGAAGAUGCAGUUGCGGCAGGUCAGGAACCUCCUUUUGGUGGUCGUUAUGCUCCACCGCAAGUCCCGGGUGUUUCACGUCCACUUAGUACUACCAUUGCAGGAGGCACAAAUAAACCACAAGAUGAGGCUGGGUCAGUGAAACCUUCAUCUUCGUCGCCCAAGGAUGCUUAAGUCCUCCUAGAUAGUACUCAGUGGAUGGUUUGACGUAGUGUAUCAUGUUGUUUGGGUCUAAAAUUUAAAUAUGUGUAUUUCUAUCUAUAUCUAAACUUUCAGCAUCAUUUGAGUUUGUCAUAGUGUAUCAUGUUGUUUGGGUCUAAAAUUUAAAUUUUUGUAUUUCUAUCUAAACAUUCAGCAACAUUUCAGUUUAAUGGUAUUUGUUUCAUGUUUGUUAUGUUUCAUUUAUAAUUGUAUGGAUGAUCAGAAUAUCUUUGGUUCGAUAAUAUUUUGUAGAUGGAUCGACAAUGGAUGUACAACGUAGACAAACGUUCCAUGGAGUACAUUAAUGGCUUGCAUGAUUUUCUAGAUUAGGCAGAAUCCAACAAACUGCCAUCCGGUUUUAUUUGUUGUCCAUGCAGAAAUUGCAAAAAUGAGAAGGAUUACUCAUCCAGAAAAACUAUUCACACCCACGUAUACAAUCCUGGAUUCAUGCCUAACUAUUUUGUUUGGACCAAACAUGGGGAAAGAGGAGUUAUGAUGGAUGAUGAUGAAGUAGAAGAAGAUGACAAUAUUCCUGAUUGGAUUCAAGGAGGUGCCUUUGCAGAGGCUCCAAUGGACGAGGCUAAAAAAGAGAUGGGCGAGGUAGAAGAUCCUAUCGAUGAUCUAGGUCAAGUGUUGUGAGAUGCAAAGGAAGACUACGAGAAUGUGAAGGAGUCAAAAAAGUUCGAGUGUAUGUUAGAUGAUCAUAAGAAAUUGUGGUACCCAUAUUGCAAACAGGGGCACAAAAAAUUCGGUACCACACAUGAAAUGCUGCAAUGGAAGGCAAAAAAUGAAGUUUCUAACAAGGGUUUUGAUGAGUUAAUGAAAAUCAUAAAGAACAUGCUUCCCGAGGGGAACGAAUUGCCGUCCUCAACGUACGAAGUGAAAAAGGUUGUUUGGCCUCUAGGUUUGGAGGUACAAAAGAUACAUACAAGCCCUAAUGAUUAUAAUCUCUAUUGCGGUGAGAAAUAUGAGAAAUUGGAGGCUUGUCCUGUGUGCAAAGCACUGCGUUAUAAGAUCAGGCGAGAUGAUCCCGAUGAUGUUGAGGGGCAGGCCAGCAAGAAGAAAGUUCCUACGAAGGUAAUGUGGUAUUUCCCUGUAGUACCACGAUUGAAGCAUUUGUUCAGAAAUAAGGCACAUGCAAAGUUGAUGCGUUGGCACAAAGAAGAACGUAAGCAAGAUGAAAUGAUCAGACACCCUGCUGAUGGGUCCCAGUGGAGAAGAGUUGAUAGAGAAUUUCCCGAGUUUGAAAAGAAUGCAAGGAACAUAUGGUUUGGUUUAAGUAUGGAUGGCUUCAAUCCAUUCGGUGAGUUCUGUAGUGGUCAUAGCACUUGACCUGUGACCUUAUGUAUGUUCAACCUUCCGCCCUGGAUGUGCAUGAAGCGGAAGUUCAUUAUGACGCUGAUAAUUAUCCAAGGCCCAAAACAAUCUGGCAACGACAUUGAUAUUUAUCUAAGACCGUUGGUUGAUGAACUUCUACUGUUAUGGAAGGAAGAAGGUGUAUGUGUGUGGGAUGAGGACAAAAAGGAGUCUUUUGAUCUACGAGCAUUGUUGCUCGUAACUAUCAAUGAUUGGCCAGCGCUUGGUAAUCUGUCCAAUCAGUAAAAUAAGGGAUAUAGAGCCUGCACGUACUGUUUAUAUGAUACUUGCAGCAUGUAUUUGAAACACUGUAGGAAGGUUAUGUAUACGGGCCAUCGUUGAUUUCUUCCUGCUAAGCACCCGUUAAGAAAAAAAGGGAAGCAUUUUGAAGGGGAGGAAGAAAAAUGUACUAAGCCCGUUCACCGUAAUGGUAAACAUGUAUUUUCUAUGAUAAAGGAUGUGAGGGUAGUCUUUGGCAUGGGCUCUGGUAGCCAACCUGUUCCGAACGACGAGGACAGACAUGCACCCAUGUGGAAGAAGUCUAUAUUUUAGGAGCUACCUUAUUGGGAAGUCCUUGAGGGCUGUAAUGCAAUUGAUGUGAUGCACCUGAUGAAAAAUCUUUGUGUGAAUGUGCUUGGCUUCCUGGGUACAUAUGGAAAGGCAAAGGAUACAAUUGAACCACGUCAGGACCUAAAACGUAUGAAAGAAUGAGAUGACCUACAUCCAGAAAAGAGAGAUGAUGGACAUUACUUGCAUCCUGCUAGUUACACUCUCAGCAAGGAAGAGAAGGAAAGCAUGUUUGACUGCUUGAAUAGUAUCAAGGUGCCAUCGGGCUACUCCUCGAAUAUACAGGCAAUAAUAAAUUUUAAAGAGAAGAAAUUCAUAAAUCUAAAGGCCCAUGACUACCACGUCCUGAUGACACAAUUGCUGCCUGUUGCACUUAGGAGUAUUCUAUAGGAGAAUGUGAGAAUGGCAAUCGUGAAGCUAUGUGCAUUUCUCGACAUGAUUUCUCAGAAGGCAAUCCAUCCAAACAAUCUACUAAAGCUGUAGAAUGACGUUGUGCAAUGCCUUGUCAGCUUUGAGAUGGUCUUUCCACCUUCCUUUUUUAAUAUCAUGACCCACCUUCUAGUCCACCUUGUUGAAGAGAUUUUUGUUCUCGGUCCUGUAUUUCUACACAAUAUAUUCCCUUUCGAGAGAUUUAUGGCAGUUCUGAAGAAGUAUGUUCAUAAUCAUGCCCGUCCGAAAGGAAGCAUCGCAAAGGGAUAUGGAACAGAGGAGGUCAUUGAGUUUUGUGAUGACUUUAUGGACAACCUGAGUUCGAUUGGAGUCCCUAUAUCACGCCAUGAGGGGAGACUGAAGGAAAAGGGCACACUAGGGAGGAAAGCUCGGAUGGACAUUGAUGAGAGUACAUUUCGUAAAGCACACUUCAUGGUCCUGCAACAAUCAUCCCUGGUCGCUCCAUAUAUGGAGGAGCACAGGGCUAUUGUACGGUCCUCAAACCAAGGGAAGAUUGAGGCCCAGAUUACACGUCAUCACAUUAACACUUUCGCCUCUUGGUUGCGGCGAUUACUAAUGGGUGAUGACAUGAUUGUAGAACAACUAGCAUGGUUGGCUAGGGAUCCAUCUAUCUCUGUAUCAACAUUCCAAGGAUAUUAGAUAAAUGGGUACACAUUUACACGAGAGCCCAAGACCAAAAGAGCACAAACCAAAAUAGUGGUGUCCGUAUAGAUGCAAUAAACAAUAAUGGAAAAAAGAUAGAUACUAUGGUGUCAUUGAGGAGAUAUGUGAACUGGACUAUGGACCUUUCAAAAUCCCUUUGUUUCAGUGCCAAUGGGUGAAACUUAUUGGAGGAGGUGUAACGACAGACAACUAGGGGAUGACAAUAGUGGACCUCAACAAGAUUGGAUAGAGAGACGAACCAUUCGUCCUAGCUAAUGAUGUGACUCAAGUUUUCUACGUGAAGGACAUGUCAAGCAAACCAAUAAGAAAGGGUGCUAAUAAGUCAGAUGACCAGCCAAAGCGCCACAUAGUUCUUCCAGGGAAAAGAAAAAUCGUUGGAGUUGAGGACAAGACUGACAUUUCAGAAGAUUAUGAUCAGUUCGAUGAUCUUCCUCCAUUUUUAGUCGAGGUUGACCCAAGCAUCCUGUUAGCCAAAGAGAACGCUCCAUACUUAUGCCACGAUCACAACCAAGGGACGUUCGUCAAGAGGAAGGUUAUUAACGUUCCAUUAGAUAAUGUUGUGUAAUGUAUUAGAACCAUUAUAAUGAUUUGUCAUGUAUCCGUGUUGUAAUGAUUUGUCAUGUAUCCACGUAUGGUUUAUUAACAAUACUAUUUGCAAAAAUCUCCCCUUAUUAAAGAACUGAUUUUUGCAUGGUUAAAUAUUAACUAUUUCAAUUUUCUAUAGCACCAUUAAAUAUUAAACCAUAAAUUUACGUACAAUUAAACAAGUACAAGACUAAGUCAUGGUAAACAUGUUAAUAACACUACAGGCACUAUUUUUCUAAAAUUUUGCAUGGUUAAAAUAUCUAUUUUUUUGAAUUUUAAAGUUAACAUAAGUAUCAUGGCCAUUAUAACCUAUUCUUACGUUAAGUUUAAUAAAUUUAUGUUUGAUAUUUAACUACAUCUAAUAUUUUUAUAGUGUACAUCUAAUCAACAUCAGGAUCAGAAAUUAUUUUUGCAAUUUUUAUGAACGUUAUUUGAUUUACUACGCAAUAAAUUAAUAUAAUAGCAAUUGUAAAAGAAAGAAAAUAGAAAGAUGUAUAGGCGGGAAGCCAAAAUAGUGGGCUACAAAGCCCUUUAGUAUCGGGUGUGUUUACCCUUUUGGUACUAGGUGGUGGCUAGACCCAGUACUAGAGGAAUGGCCUUUAGUACUGGUGCUAGCCACCACCUGGUACUAAAGGCCUUUAGUAUCGGGUGAAGGCGAGCCCCGAUACUAGGGUGGGGGGAUAAAACCCCAUUUCCUUUCUUCCCUAACACUUAGCCACACCGUGCACGUCAAUUCGAGCCCACAACAAAGUUCCUCUUGCCAACGCCUUUGCCACGCUCCUCCUCCUCCACCACGCCGCCGCCCCCCCCCGGCCGUCCCAUUUCGUCUGCCACUGCGCCGCCGCACACUCCACCACGGCUGCCGGCCCGGCCGCCCCUCCUUGCAAUCCCCCAUGACGUGGCCUCCUCGCCAAUGAGCCGCCAUCGUCCCCCCCCCCCCCCCGACGACGUGCCACCAGCCUCCUCUCUGCUUGCCCACUCCACUGCCGGCUGUAGCGGAACCACCCAAAUUAACCUGACCAAAAUGCACUUAAGUCACCUGACACGUGAUCAUGCACUUUAAGCAAGCCAACUUGGUCAUCUGUCGGAGUUCAUCCGAUAAACCACUUACUCAGGAUCGAGAAGCAUUGCUCACGCGAAGGUGAGUGGCACAGAGAUUACAACAUUUCCAUCAUAUUAACAUAGUUCAAGACUUUAUUACAUCAGAGUUUUCGAAAUCCAAAUAGAGUUUGCAAGGUUGUAAACAACGAGAAUUUAAACGGCGAAAGCUACACGAUGAUACAAAAUACCAUGGCGAAGCCGACCAUGAUAUCCAUUUCAACGAUCCACGCUAUCUGAGGCUGGUUUCCACUCGACCGACCAACCCGGAGGGAGUUGGGUCAGCCAACUCAAGCUGGCAACCAUUUCCUUGUACUCAGCACUACCUGAAAAGAUAGCCACAAGCAAGGCUGAGCAACUAGUACUCAGCAAGACUGACCCGACAGGUGAUAACUACUUCACCGACUCCUAGUCAUGCAAGGCUUUUUGGUUGUGGGUUUGUUUUUGCCAAAAGCGCCUAGAGUUGGUCCUUACUUUCAAUAAUUUAGCUCAAGUUAUAAGUUUAUUGACCAGUCUAAAUUAGCAACUUAUACUAAGCAAGCAUUGUUUCCAAACAAUUAAAGACCAAGCAUCAAGAUUAAUAUCAUCAUGUUCCAUCUUUACUCAGCGCAGAAUAGCGAUCAAGCAGUCCCAAACUGUGAGAGGCAGACGAAUCAAUUCGAAUUUAUUAACCAUGCAUGGCGAACCUAAUCCCACGAUAUCCGCGCACAACGAAGGGUUGCUUCACUUGUCAGCCGCCCCCAUCGAUCCCCAGGCACGUGUCAGGGCCAAACUUCCCUUGGCAUGCAAUGCUCCAUAGUCCCAGCCUCUUGUCGUACUGUGACCGCACUUGCACCCACAUGAUGCACCAUGGGAACCCAGGGACAACAGGAGUAUAAGCCACGCCCCAGUUCAAUCAAGUACUAGGCUUCCCUAUCCCAUACUAGGUAUGAGAUUAGUACUUUCAAACACUUGAUCACGAACGCCGACAUGUUUUGACCUUAGCAAGUUCAUUACUAGAUAGACGGGGCAAACCACCACAUUAGAACUAUUCCCGGUCCCGCCCGUCAUCCUUAUGGUUGUAGCAUCAGUAAACAAACAACUCCUAUAACUCGCGAGUGACAGACAAUCACUCGACUUUUACCGAGUCCUAUUUAGUAUAGCAACUACUCGACCUUAGCAACUAGUGUUCAGAUUCAAAGGUAUUAAGUUCAUGCAUCUAUGGUUUCAAUCAACUCCUACAAACGUAAAUGCACAAUCAUAAGCAUCAACAUAUUGCAUAAAUCUAAAAUAGGGAAGCAUGCACCGGGGCUUGCCUUCAGGUUCAGGAAAAGUUAGCGGGUCCUCAGGGUCUUGAUCUAGCUCGGGCUCAACUUUCGCGUGAUGUAGCUCUGCGGCGGGUUCCUCUUCCAGCGUAGGGUGGAGCUCGUAGGUUCCGGCGGCGAUAUUAGCUUCUACACGACAUGCACAUGCAGAGAGUUCAGAUUUUUCCAUGCUUUCGUAUGAAUGAUGCAAGGCAUGACUUAUUGCUGGAAUGAAAGUGCACCUCGACCACAUUCACCUAAACAAGGUUUUAAUUUUCAUAACUUCAUGAAGUAAGGUGGCUUGUGGUUUAAAACUCGGGGUUGACUUUGAUGUGGAUUGUGUACAUAUUUAAGAUUCUUAAGACUUAGAGUUCACAAGGAAGGUGGGGUCACUUUUAGGAUUGUUCGGGGUUCAUUUGGAGAGUCAUUUAUUUCUGAAUGUUUUUUUACCUUUCCAAAAAUUACCCAUUAAGUUUAUUAGGACUUACAUUUCUUUAUUCACUUAAACUGAUUCCUCAUCCAAAAUUUGGUUCCACAAGCAAACAGUAACAUAUGACAUUGAGAAAUUUACAAAACCUUACUUUUAUCCUCAAUGAGUUACUGUAAAAAUUUGGGAUCCAAAGGAUGGGUACAAAAAUAAUUAAAAUUGUUUUAUUAACCAAGGGUAGUAUGUACUUAACCAUUUUUAUCUCAAAACCUACAGUGAUUCAGAGGGUGAAACUUUAACAGUGGAUUGAAGGCAUGUUACAGAGACUUUGGUGAAUUUUUCAUGAUGUUUAGAGAAGGACAUCUAUUCCCCAUAUUUUUCUCCUAUUUACCUAGCUCUAAAAAGGAAGGUGGGCUUCAUUAAGCUUCAGUCAAGGUUUCAUAUUUUUUCUAUGAACUACACUUCAAAGCUAAGCUACUCCAAGUGGUUUCAUAUUUUUCUCAGCUUUGGUUUAAAACUUAUGUAAAAAGAAAGAUUUAACCCUAGAUUUCAAAUAUAAAGCUAAAACAAUGAGUUAAAGUUCUACUCCAGGGUCUUCACUAUUUUUCCAAGCUUCCAUACUCAGAAACAUACACCACAGAGUUGGAUUUAUCUUUUUAGCAUUUUUCUUUGAUUUAUUAUGAUUUAAAAGGCCUAAGAAAGAAAUAAAACUAUAGGGUAUUAUUUCCAACAGUAACACGGGCAAGAUUAUUUUUGUAAAAAAACUAGACAGUUCACUGAGUCCAACAAAAGUGGUUUUACAUUUUUCUGAUUUUUCUACGAUUUAUGGUGCAUUUACAAAGUUUAUCCUAUUUUCUGCCGAUUUGAAACAAUAAACCGAAAACAACUUACAAUCUAAACCUCGUGUCUAUGGUUUAUUCACGCAGGGGGUCCCUAGUUCUUGCGCUAAGGCCCCUGGAAAAAGGUAAAAGACACAGGGAGGCCCUUGCGGCGGCCGGCGGCGAGCUCGACUCGAUUCCAGCGAGUCUCGGGGUCAAUCGAGGGCAAGAACAGGCGUUGGAGACGCGGGAGCUCACCGGGGAGGGAUUGGCAGCGAUUGGGGUGUCGGAGUGGGCUCGGUGGCAGUGGAACAGCUUGGGGACGGGAGGCGACUUCGGCGGCGGAGUCCCGGUGGAGUUCCAGCGACGACGGGGCUCCGGGAGGGCAACAAGCUGCUCGGGUAGGAGCGCGGGGUGAUGGCGGAGCUGGCGCUGGAGGUGGCGAGGUACGGGGAGCGACGGAGACAGGGGCUCCACGGGAGGGUGAUGCGGUGGCGCUUAGAGCAGAGGAGGCGGCAGAGCUUUGCGGGUGUGGGGAGCUGCGCAGGCGGCGCAUCGACUCCUUUUAUAGGGUCAGGGAGGUGCGGAGGGCGAGAGCGGAGCCAAUGCUGGUGGCGAACGUGGCUGGAGGCGAGCGGGGGAGAAGAACAGGGUGGUGCCAUUGGCCAGCGACACUCACUGGCGGAGGGAUGGCGCGGGCGUAUGCGAAGAUCUUCCGGUGAUUGGGUGGGAGAGAUAGGAGGUGUGCGAGAUCUUCUUUAUCUGGCAGAGCGAUUGGGCAACCCGGGGGGUCAUCCUGUCAUCGUCGAGCAGCGGAUUGGGGAGGUGGAGCUCGGCCAUCGUGCAGCCAUGGCGUGGCGGAAGGGAGCAGCAGAGGCGCGGCGCAGCAUUGGGCGAGGGAGAUGCUCGGGCAGAGGAAGGAUAGGAUCACGCGGUCAUUGGGCGUCCCGGCGAGCGAGUUGUCCCGUUGUGGCCGUCGGUUGGCUGUUGGCGAGCUCGCUGGGCGAGCGACGCUCGGGCGAACAUGCCGGGCGCGUUCCGGGCGCGCGCUGGGCGAGGUGCGCCUCCGGGCAGUCCAAAAGGGCCAGUUUUGGGGGCCUUUUUCUCCAAAAUUUUCAAAAGAACUCAUGAAACUCCAAAAGUAAAAUAUGUAGACCUAACGUCCAGCUCCAAACUUUACAAAAGGAGUUUGCUUCAAAUCAAAAUGGAUUUGAAUUUAUAUAUUGAUUUGCAAAGUUCAGCAAAAUGCCGGCCUCCAGGGACUUGGACAGAUCUUGGUUUUGCUGUUUUUCAGCAUUUUGGCCGACUUUGGCUCAGAUUUUGAGUAGCUUCCCAUUUGAAUCAGGCCAAGAUGUAAUUGAAGGAAAAGUUCUUCGAUCUUAGGACUCUAACUUCUAUUCGGGACUUUUCUUGAGUUUAGUUCAGCUUGUAGUAGGAACGUGCUUGCCCAGAUGCGCGCUCUGGAUGUUUUCCAGACAUAGCGCUGGGAUGUAAGUAGGCUGAGUUAACUGUUUUACACGGUUUUGACCAAGUUUUUUAGCAGGUUCAAUUGUGAUUUGGUCCUGGGUCAGUGUAACAAAGUUGUAACACACUCAAGGAGGGCUCAAAAUCAUUAGGAUUUAGCUAAGCAAAAGUAGAAAGUAUGCAAAGCUUUAAUAGAAAACUAAUUAUUAUCUUGGUUCAUUUUACUUAUGAUAACUUGGGAUAAAAAACGAUAAUGAUUUGUGGGACUUGCCUUCCUCGAAGUCCAGAUCAUUCAAAGCUUCUUCGUAAUUUUGGUCGUCAAAGCAUUUCCGACGUCGUCAUUUUCUACAUUAUCAUAGUUAUGCGUAAACAUUCAAGCAAACAAUCAUAGCAAUACAUCAAACAUGGGUUAAAUAAUUAGAAUUGGGGUUUAGAAGGCUUUGAUAAUUUCCUAGAAUUUUCUAGGAUUUUUCUGGAAUUAUUUUGAGUGGUUUCCUAUUUUCUGGUCACAUGAAAUAUGGAUUUUUCUAUUUUAUAAAAGGGAUGAGAAUUAGUUUGGGGGUUAUAGAUGUGAGAUUUAUGCAAACAAGGUAUGUUUGGGUUUAAAAUGAUCUCUAGUAUUUUUGAGGAAUUUUUGGUGAUUUAAUUUUUGGAAGUUUCUAACAUGGCUAGGCGAAAAUUGGUGUGCAUGAGGAACAAGGGGGAGAAAGGGAGAGAGGCUGAUGGGUGGGCCAGGUGGUGAUGUGGUAGGGGAGGCCCGUGCGGUCUGUGUGGCAAGCCACAUGGUAUGCCCUAGGGCCAGGUGGUGGACCGGGGAAGGCGUGUGUGUGUGGUGUGGAUGGGCGCUGGGGAUUGUUUGGAGUCGAGUUUUGGGCGUGGGAGCGGGUAGGGAUGUGUAGCGCGUGUAGGGAAAUGGUUGGAAAGAGCCGCGACCAAUCAGAGCAUCGCUGACGGCUAGCCACGAUUCUGGCAGCGUGGCGGCUAGGCGGAGCGGAAGCUAGAGUGGGUGAGAGGGGAGGUGGUGGUGCGGGCAGCAUGACGGCCGUACCUGAGGGGCACCGAGGGCUCACGCAGGCAACAUGACAGCUGGAGUUGGCCGGCAGCGAGCUAGCAAUGGGGGGAGCGGUGGCGGAGGUGUGGCUGGCGAAGAGCGGCUGGUUGCGCGGCGGUACAAUGCCGGGAGGGGGCUAUUGCUGCAUAGCAACCCCGACUUCUACCCGGCCCGGCUCUAGGGGAUAGAGCGCAGCGGCGGGUGGGGGUGGUGUAGCAUGGUCCUAUUGCGGCAAACCGGUGUGGUGUAGAGGGGAAAGGAGGAGGGGAGAGGAGGUGAGGAGCGACGGGGAGGGCUAUUUAUUGCUUAGCGGAAGGGGCUGGGGUGCUCGGGCGGCCUUGGCCGAGCUUAUCCGGGUUAGUCAGGCGCCAAUGGUGCGAUGGCGCGUGGUGCUAGUGGUGGGGGUGGAUAGGGCUGGGAGAGGGGAUGCCAACGGGGGAGAGCGUGGUCUUGGAUGUGCCUGGUGCUGACACAUGUGUCACGCUUGCCGAGGAGAUGAAUUGGGCUGGGAUGGAGGAGAUCAGGGUGAGCUUGCAGGUGGCCGCACUCUAUAGCGCGGGUGAGUGAAUAGGGAUGGUCGGGUACUUGAGUAGGGGGGAGGGUUCUAACAGGUGCGGGGCGUGGUGGAGGUAUAGCUGAUGACGACGCGCUCCAGUGCAGGCGAGGAGGGUGGCCAAAGGGUAGGAUGUGGUGCACAGUCGGUGUGACGUCAUGCUUGGGUGAGGGAAAGGGAAGGGGGCAGGAACCAGGGGUAGAGGAUGAUCACACCGUGGUGACGUCAUUGUAACGUGGUGCCGCCGGGUGUUGAUGCAAAAGUCCAGCGCUUUAGGUUUCCAUGCCGUGCAACACAUGAGGACCUGGGAUAUCUACUUCACUUCAGUGCAGGCUCCAAAUCGGUUUGUGAGUGGUGCAAAGGCGUGCCAGUCAAUUUGACCUGAAAAUUCCUGAGCCGAUCAGUUGUAAAGCCUUUCGAACUCAUGGGUAGGUGUUCUUGGAAUAAACACCACGAUAAAUAGAUAAUUAAUGUAAUACAUGCGGUGUAAGAAAAUAAAGCAAUCAUGGCAUGUGCCAUGGGCUAUGUUAGCCGAUGGGCUAAGAAAAAGCAUUAAAAGCAAGGCAGCUAUAAAAGCGGGGAUCCCCAUUCACCACGCGCUGAUCAUGUAAGCUAGCACAUCUAUCCAAUGUCAUGGUUGGGUAUUGAACUUAGAAAAGGUAACCCCAUGAGAGGGCAAAGGCAUCCAUCUACUAGCUUACAAGACCAGAACAUAGAAUAAGGAUCAGCCGAUGGUAACUGUACACGAGCCAGAAACAUUAACAGAUAAUGGUUGACGCCAUGGUUGGGCUCCUGUAGCCUUUAGACAGUAAAACCCCACGAGAGGCGUCACCCGCUACCUGCCAAUGCAUCAGACUAGAGCACAAAAACCAAGGGCCUCUUGCCUACCGCUCCAUAAGCCAAUCAAGGUAAUGAAGUCUAAUUAGUGUCAUGGUUGGGUAUUGAACUCAGACAAUUUAACCCCGUGAGAGGGCACUAAAUUUGACCCGCUAGCCUCAAUUAAAUGAGUAUCACGAUCGCAAGGCCUCGCGCACACUCCUAUUGGCUCAAUGAAAUCAGCGUGCUCCCGCGGGAUGCGGAUAAGACCCGACUGAAGCAUCAACUCCCAGUGGUAGCGUGGUGACAUUAGAGGCCAGACGGAUGGCGACGCGAGGGGCAGGGGUAAAGAUCUAUUGGCUAAAGCAUAUAUAAACCAAAGCAGAGCACGCAAAAACUAGCCAGCCUAUGUGAUCUGAUAACUAUGAAUGCAGUAAAAGGGACUAGGAAGCUGAUGAAGACAACCUAAUCAGAUCUAAAGCAUUCGAUAACCGGUGAGAAACCGAUAAAAAGCAAGCAAGAGUAUCGACAAAAGCCUAGGGACUAAUACUUGCAGAUCAAAGGUAUUCUCGAUAGCUGCUGUGAGCGCCUAGCAACAACCCCUAGAUGGAUCUAAGAAAACUCGAUAACUUAAGCACCGUCGAUGACAACUCAACGUAUACACCAAGCCUAGGGACAUUGACUUGUAAUCUAAGGUAACUCAAUAACUAGCCACACGUGAAAACAUUCCAGAAUAUGAGACCUAACUCAGAAAGUUCUGCGAGAGGUCGCCAUGAUCGGGUGACGGUACUUACAAGCUCGCAGAGAUCAAAGCUGAUGCAGCCAUACACGUAGGAAGGAACUCGUUGAAACUACUCCACUCUUACCCCUAAGGGUUUUGGCAGCUGGCGCUGAAAGGUUGUAUUGAUUGAUUGUUGAUUGUUUUUACAAGAGCUCAUAGGUUUAUAUUUAUACCCUAGAGCAAGCUAAAGUCCUAGUCGAAUAUGACAUGAACUGUUAUAGCAAACUACUCAAACUGCCUAAGAUACAAUCUCCACGCUUUCCCUUAUUUGGUGGAGCCGAUUCUAUCUCGGACUGGGCCCGCCUGGUCUUAUGUCAGCUUCUGGAAGCAUGGUCAGCUGCGGCUGGUCUUGGUCAACAUGGCUCCACCGGUAGUCUCUUUCUCUCUCCUCUAUCAGCUGUCUGGACCUUAUCAACAACGGUUAACUCUGGCCAAAAAUCGGUGUCAACACAUGUCCCCCAAUUUUGGGUAUAACAUUAUAUUCGAAUAUUCUCUUGUCUUCAUCAGUUUGAGCUGAUAAACUUCCAAAUUCCAAUUCAGUCGUUGCCGCAAUUAUGGCUUCCCUUUCCUUGGUUCCCGUGGUGGCGCCACCCUUGAUUUUCGGGAUUCACCUUGUGAAGGAAUAUUAUAAAACUUCUCUAUCCUCCCAUCCUCUAGUUCAUCUUCCCCUUCAAGCCAAGUGAUCCUUGCACUGCCGCCAAUCUGAGAUCAGAUUUCGCUUCUGAGUUCUUCUUCAAACAUCGCGCCCGCGCAAGCAAUCGCAUGCCGAUGGCUACAUCCACUACCGUCCCAGAGGUACAGUACAUUGCCGCCCUGAUUCGUAUUAUCUUCAGAUCCAAUCUCUCCUUUUGCAAACUUUUUCAUCUCCUUCCCUAGCUUAAUUUGUAGGCGCUUAGAGACCAUGUAUUGAUCCCUCUUAGUGAUGUGAAUGAUGCUUAAUUCCUUGGCCCCAUGGGUGAUACGGAUCCAAUGGACUUAAUCAAUGCCGAAACCCAACAAAUUCUGUACAAGGCUUCUUCCAUGGAUCUAUCUGUUUGGGAAGGCGAUUUCUGUUCAUGGCCCUGCAACCCCCAAGGUUGGAUGACAUGGUAUCACAGGGUAUCAGCCACCAAGAAAGUAGAAUGGGAUGAAUUGUGCAUCGGCCAUUGUAUUAAACUUUCUUUAGCCAAUAUGGAAAAAGACGAAUCCAUGCUUGCUGCUGCUUGGUACUUCUGGUUUGAUGCAUUAAAUGCCUUCUUAUUGGUGAUGGUCCUAUGUCCCCUAGUUUGUUGGACGUCUACAUGCUGACGGGGCUCAAUAUCACUUCCCCUGCUUCUCCUUUCCUAUUUCAAAUUGUCAACAAGCACAAAUUGGGCACAAGAGGCACGAUGAAUUGUAGCCGAUAUAUCAAUUCCUUUAGCAAAACUUCGGUGCAUAUAUGUACAGUUUCCACUGGAUACUCCUUGUUGUCGUGAUUGAUCAAAGCGCAGUCUAUAUCCCGGACUCUUGAGGAAACCAAGAGAUCAAUACAAAAAUCUCAUAGACAUUCUUAACAAAGCAUGGGCUCGCUUUCGUCGACAUCAUGCGGGUGAAUUCAAGGAGGAACUUGAUUUCAAGCCUGAAUUCCCGGUAUGUGUUAAAUUUCAACAUCUCGUGACACUUCAUUGAACACAACAAAUAUUUCAUAACUUCUUUUGCCAUAUAUAUAGUGUUUGAGACAGAAGCAGGGGAAUAGUUUAUGCGGAUAUUACGUAUAUGAGUUCAUCCAUGGCUUUGUAGGUCCCAAGCAUAUAACUGACCACGAAUUCAGAGUAUGUUUACAAAUUUCUUAAACAAUAAAUUAGCUCUAAUUGUGAAGACCCAUUGAUCUACUAUAUAUAUAAUAACAUUUACCAAUGACACUGAUGAUGCACAUGAAGGAAGCACUCCUCGACACGAAAAAAAUCAGGGCAAUUCAAGAACAACUCUCUGAAUUUAGUUUUUCUGGACGAGGUAGUAAAUCUAGCGGGGGAGUUUCAUAAUGAUGGAUCAAAUCUGCAACACCGUCAGGACUCGGGUUCAGAAUAGUUGAUCCCAAAUGUUGAACUUGGAAAGUUGAUGCAAUGUAAUAUUAUUCAUAUAUGUGUAUGCAUAAUAUGUCUAUAUAUAGAAAGUUGAUGCAAUGGAAAGUUGAUGCAUAUUAGAACUAGUAUACGUAAAGGAAACAAAUACGAAAUACUAAUAUAGAAUAAAGAAACAGAAAAGAAAAUGAGAAAAAAAUAGAAAAAAAUCAUUUAGUACCGGUUGGAGAGACCAACCGGUACUAAAGGUCCCUUUAGUACUAAUUAUUUUAACCGGUAUUAAAGGUCCCCUUAGUACUAAACUAGCAAUACCGGUUGCUAAAGCGGUACUAAAGGGGAUUCCCAACCAAUAUGAUGGCGCUUUCCCCACCAGUGGAUCUUCGGCAUGGCAUGGUGUGGACGCACACCAAACGACGAGCCCAAAGAUGGAGGAACUGCAUCUUUCUCGCAACCGGCCAUUGCUGCGUUCUGCAUCAACCUCCUUGGAUUCCGUGGCCUCUUCCACGACGUGACUCUACUCUCCCGUGGCCUCUUCCCGCAGACACAGAGGCCUGCAGCCGUUGAAACCCGUAUGACUUUGGCUCCGAUGGAGCCAGUUCCUCGCCAUCCCGUGGUCCAGGUUCACUAGCAGCCGGGUGAGAAAAAUUAGCGGAGCUCCCCGAGAAAAAUCUGGCCACACAGCUAACGAGUCACGACGGACACCGAGAGACCGAGACCGCAGAGGCCAGGCAAGCCGCAAGCGGCGACUGCGAGAGGCGGCCAAGCCGAAGCGCUAGCCGCCAGCGUGGAUCGCCAUCCCGCCCCGUGGUCCGGAAGAUAAGGGGCGCCGCUAGGUGCCGACACGUCACGCCAGACGAGAUCAGGAUAGGCCAGCCUGGCCGGGUGACGCCACCGGCGAACGGUGGCCACUCCUGCCACAUCCGGUCGUCCUGCGCCGGAUGGGAAGAUGGGGCGCCAUGGAGCCGCUAGGCUAUAUAUAUAUGCCGCCGGUGGGGGAGCCUACAGGGACUCAAGCAAGCCUCGCUCUGCUUCCUCUUCUCCUUGGUUAAUAAUACUAGUAGUAAGCAUAUACUAGCACUAGCUAGUAAGCCAUGGCGCCGACCGUGAUGGCCUCGUCGGCCACCUCAGUUGCUCCAUUCCAGGGGCUCAAGUCCACCGCCGGACUCCCCGUGAGCCGCCGCUCCAUCAGCACCGGCUUCGUCAGCAACGGCGGAAGGAUCAGGUGCAUGCAGGUAAUAUAAUCGAUCGAUCAAGACACUGGAAUUAUAUUCUUGCUGUUUGUUCAUAGAAAUAAUGCAACUCAAUAGGAAGUUUAGGAACUGAUAUGAAAGUGUCGUUGCUCAGGUGUGGCCGGCGGAGGGCAACAAGAAGUUCGAGACCCUCUCCUACCUGCCACCUCUCUCCACGGACGAGGUCCUGAAGCAGAUCGACUACCUGAUCCGGAAGAACUGGAUCCCCUGCCUUGAGUUCAGCAAGAUCGGGUUCGUCUAUCGUGAGAACAGCACGUCUCCCUGUUACUACGACGGGCGCUACUGGACCAUGUGGAAGCUGCCCAUGUUCGGCUGCACCGAGGCCACCCAGGUGUACGCUGAGUUCGAGGAGUGCAAGAAGGCCUACCCCGACUGUUACAUCCGUAUCAUCGGCUUCGACAACAUCAAGCAGGUGCAGUGCGUCAUGUUCAUCGCCUACAAGCCCCCGGGCAGCGAGUAGACCGGCGGCGCCAAAUAAAAAGCUUAAAUACCUGUCCGUCUCAGUUCAACACCGCUUGAUUAUCUCCAUUUUUCCCCAUCUGAACGCUUCUGUAACUAUUGGGCGAGCAUGCGUGCCCAUGAGCAAUGCUACCAUUGGCUUGCUAAACAUGUGAAUGCAUGGUACAUAGCUCCGGCUAUACCUUUGCACAUAGUGAUAUAUUUACACGAAUGUAUACACAGCGAUCAUAUUCAUACGACAAUGUACCACUAGAUUGCCAAUUCGUUGGAACAUUAUAACAUGGUUGUUUUACUUACGUAAAUGAUCAUAUGAUAAUACAAGGAAAAAGUGUAUUUUUCAUCCCUC